GGGGUUGUGGCUCAGUGGUAGAGCGCUCGCCUAGCACGUGUGAGUACCUGGGUUUGAUCCUCAGCACCA
This 69-nucleotide transfer RNA is filed under the name Ictidomys tridecemlineatus (thirteen-lined ground squirrel). RNAcentral describes it as "Spermophilus tridecemlineatus (thirteen-lined ground squirrel) tRNA". It matches the Rfam family "tRNA". Rfam says of the family: Transfer RNA (tRNA) molecules are approximately 80 nucleotides in length. Their secondary structure includes four short double-helical elements and three loops (D, anti-codon, and T loops). The record is from Rfam by way of RNAcentral. Lineage: Eukaryota; Metazoa; Chordata; Mammalia; Rodentia; Sciuridae.